GCUCGAGUGGCGAACGGGUGAGUAACACGUGAGUAACCUGCCCUUGACUUUGGGAUAACUUCAGGAAACUGGGGCUAAUACCGGAUAGGAGCUCCUGCUGCAUGGUGGGGGUUGGAAAGUUUCGGCGGAUGGGGAUGGACUCGCGGCUUAUCAGCUUGUUGGUGGGGUAGUGGCUUACCAAGGCUUUGACGGGUAGCCGGCCUGAGAGGGUGACCGGCCACAUUGGGACUGAGAUACGGCCCAG
This 244-nucleotide ribosomal RNA is filed under the name uncultured Actinomycetales bacterium. RNAcentral's name for it is "partial 16S ribosomal RNA". It matches the Rfam family "Bacterial small subunit ribosomal RNA", at positions 89 to 334 of the family's 1533-position model. Lineage: Bacteria; Bacillati; Actinomycetota; Actinomycetes; Actinomycetales. The record is from RNAcentral.